AGUCGAACGGAAGUCGUUAUAAAAAGGAUUGAGGAUUUAUCUGAUUGAGAUUUUAUAACAAUGGCUUUAGUGGCGGACUGGUGAGUAACGCGUGAGCAACCUGCCUACUAGAGGGGAAUAACAGUGAGAAAUCAUUGCUAAUACCGCAUAUGCCAUGAACAUCACAUGAUGAAAGUGGGAAGAGAGUAAUCUGCUAGUAGAUGGGCUCGCGUCUGAUUAGAUAGUUGGUGGGGUAACGGCCUACCAAGUCGACGAUCAGUAGCCGGACUGAGAGGUUGAACGGCCACAUUGGGACUGAGAUACGGCCCAGACUCCUACGGGAGGCAGCAGUCGGGAAUGUUGCGCAAUGGAGGAAACUCUGACGCAGUGACGCCGCGUAUAGGAAGAAGGUUUUCGGAUUGUAAACUAUUGUCGUUAGGGAAGAUACAAGACAGUACCUAAGGAGGAAGCUCCGGCUAACUACGUGCCAGCAGCCGCGGUAAUACGUAGGGAGCAAGCGUUAUCCGGAUUUAUUGGGUGUAAAGGGUGCGUAGACGGGAAAGCAAGUUAGUUGUGAAAUCCCUCGGCUUAACUGAGGAACUGCAACUAAAACUGUUUUUCUUGAGUGUUGGAGAGGAAAGUGGAAUUCCUAGUGUAGCGGUGAAAUGCGUAGAUAUUAGGAGGAACACCGGUGGCGAAGGCGACUUUCUGGACAAUAACUGACGUUGAGGCACGAAAGUGUGGGGAGCAAACAGGAUUAGAUACCCUGGUAGUCCACACCGUAAACGAUGGAUACUAGGUGUAGGGAAUGAUUUCAUUUUCUGUGCCGUCGCAAACGCAAUAAGUAUCCCACCUGGGGAGUACGGCCGCA
Molecule: ribosomal RNA, 850 nt
Filed under: uncultured bacterium
Lineage: Bacteria
Description: bacterial SSU rRNA
Rfam family: Bacterial small subunit ribosomal RNA
Source: RNAcentral